AGCGAACGCUGGCGGCAGGCCUAACACAUGCAAGUCGAACGAAGUCUUCGGACUUAGUGGCGGACGGGUGAGUAACACGUGGGAACGUGCCUUUAGGUUCGGAAUAACUCAGGGAAACUUGUGCUAAUACCGAAUGUGCCCUUCGGGGGAAAGAUUUAUCGCCUUUAGAGCGGCCCGCGUCUGAUUAGCUAGUUGGCGAGGUAAAGGCUCACCAAGGCGACGAUCAGUAGCUGGUCUGAGAGGAUGAUCAGCCACAUUGGGACUGAGACACGGCCCAAACUCCUACGGGAGGCAGCAGUGGGGAAUCUUGCGCAAUGGGCGAAAGCCUGACGCAGCCAUGCCGCGUGAAUGAUGAAGGUCUUAGGAUUGUAAAUUCUUUCACCGGGGACGAUAAUGACGGUACCCGGAGAAGAAGCCCCGGCUAACUUCGUGCCAGCCGCCGCGGUAA
Molecule: ribosomal RNA, 448 nt
Filed under: uncultured bacterium
Lineage: Bacteria
Description: partial 16S ribosomal RNA
Rfam family: Bacterial small subunit ribosomal RNA
Source: RNAcentral